This 332-nucleotide unclassified non-coding RNA is filed under the name soil metagenome. Its description in RNAcentral is "partial contains 5.8S ribosomal RNA, internal transcribed spacer 2, and large subunit ribosomal RNA". The stretch from base 1 to 120 matches the Rfam family "5.8S ribosomal RNA", at positions 35 to 154 of the family's 154-position model. The record is from RNAcentral.
GAUGAAGAACGCAGCGAAAUGCGAUAAGUAAUGUGAAUUGCAGAAUCCAGUGAAUCAUCGAAUCUUUGAACGCACAUUGCGCCCGCCAGUAUUCUGGCGGGCAUGCCUGUUCGAGCGUCAUUUCAACCAUCAAGCCCCAGGCUUGUGUUGGGGUCCUGCGGCUGCCGCAGGCCCUGAAAAACAGUGGCGGGCUCGCUGUCACACCGAGCGUAGUAAUACAUCUCGCUUUGGACGUGCGGCGGGUUCUUGCCGUUAAACACCCCCCUUCUCAAGGUUGACCUCGGAUCAGGUAGGAAUACCCGCUGAACUUAAGCAUAUCAAUAAGCGGAGGA